Molecule: ribosomal RNA, 440 nt
Filed under: uncultured bacterium
Lineage: Bacteria
Description: bacterial SSU rRNA
Rfam family: Bacterial small subunit ribosomal RNA
Source: RNAcentral
GAAUUCACUAGUGAUUCAGGCCUAACACAUGCAAGUCGAGCGGGGUUUUCGGACCUAGCGGCGGACGGGUGAGUAAUGCGUAGGAGGCUACCCGAUAGAGGGGGAUACCAGUUGGAAACGACUGUUAAUACCGCAUAAUGUCUACGGACCAAAGUGUGGGACCUUCGGGCCACAUGCUGUCGGAUGCGCCUACGUGGGAUUAGCUAGUUGGUGAGGUAAUGGCUCACCAAGGCGACGAUCCCUAGCUGGUUUGAGAGGAUGAUCAGCCACACUGGAACUGAGACACGGUCCAGACUCCUACGGGAGGCAGCAGUGGGGAAUAUUGGACAAUGGGCGCAAGCCUGAUCCAGCCAUGCCGCGUGUGUGAAGAAGGCCUUCGGGUUGUAAAGCAAUGUCAGCGAGGAGGAAGGGUUGUGUGUUAAUAGCACACAGCCUUGACG